AUGCUCCGAUCGCAGCUAGCUCGCGCCCAGGAUCGUUUCAAGAAGCAGGCAGAUCGUCACCGCGCCGAGCACGCAUUCGAUGUGGGAGAACAGGUACUGCUCAAGCUUCAACCUUAUGCCCAAACUUCAGUCGCCAAUCCCCCGUGCCGCAAGCUGGCAUAUAAGUUCUUCGGGCCCUUCCUCGUCACCGAGCGCGUGGGCACGCUCGCUUACCGGCUCCAACUCCCUCCAGACAGCCGCAUACAUCCGGUGUUUCAUGUGUGCCAGUUGAAGCCCUUCGUUCCUGACUACACACCGGUCUUUGCUGAGCUCCCCAAGGUACCGGAUCUUGCGGCCAACGAGUUACAACCGGCAGCAAUUUUGGACCGUCGCAUGAUGAAGAAAGGAGACGCGUCCGUCGUCCAGCUGCAGAUUCAGUGGGAGAACAUGCCAUCCGCAGCAGCAACCUGAGAGGAUUACUCAGUGCUUCGUCAACGUUUUCCAAAUGCCAGCAUCUGGGAAGGGGAAUCCUCUCAAGGGGGGACAAUGUCGCACCUGCGUAUGUCAGUAGCCUGCAUAUGCAGCGGACUGAAGAAGUGCAGGUUCAGAGUUGCACCUGAACUGAACCUGCAGCGCCCUGCGUGGCGAGCUGGGCCGUGGGCCUUGUAA
RNAcentral lists this ribosomal RNA (648 nucleotides) under Triticum aestivum (bread wheat). RNAcentral describes it as "partial small subunit ribosomal RNA". The record is from RNAcentral. Lineage: Eukaryota; Viridiplantae; Streptophyta; Magnoliopsida; Poales; Poaceae.